This 202-nucleotide unclassified non-coding RNA is filed under the name uncultured fungus. RNAcentral's name for it is "sequence contains ITS1". The record is from RNAcentral. Lineage: Eukaryota; Fungi.
GUAUAGAUUUUAUUGGGACAACAUUCUAUUAACAUACAUUGGGGGACAAAUGAAUAAGCAACAUAGACCUGAGAAAGGUCUACAAGAGGUGCACAGGUGGGGACAUAAAGAUGACAAGGCGUGCACAUGCUCCCUAGAGAACCAGCAACAACCCAUCAGGUUUAUUUCAAUAAUGAUCCUUCCGCAGGUUCACCUACGGAAA